GCUCUCUCGGGAUUGCACCUGGAGAGUUUCCAGUACUCUACCAGUCUCGGCUAUAGGAGGGAGAGUCAAGCAAAGGCAUACCCAUUCCACUCCUAGCUUGGGCCAUGGCUACCAAGUGGAAGGCAAUCUGCUACAAAU
This is a small nucleolar RNA of Tachyglossus aculeatus (Australian echidna), 138 nucleotides long. The record is from RefSeq and is a predicted model, not a curated record. NCBI's taxonomy places the organism in Eukaryota, Metazoa, Chordata, Mammalia, Monotremata, Tachyglossidae.